Molecule: ribosomal RNA, 254 nt
Filed under: uncultured prokaryote
Description: partial 16S ribosomal RNA
Rfam family: Bacterial small subunit ribosomal RNA
Source: RNAcentral
UACGGAGGAUGCAAGCGUUAUCCGGAUUUAUUGGGUUUAAAGGGUGCGCAGGUUGUUUGAUAAGUCAGUGGUGAAAGUCUGUCGCUUAACGGUAGGAUUGCCAUUGAUACUGUUAGACUUGAAUAUGGAUGAGGUAGGCGGAAUGUGUAGUGUAGCGGUGAAAUGCAUAGAUAUUACGCAGAACACCGAUUGCGAAGGCAGCUUACUAAUCCAUCAUUGACGCUGAGGCACGAAAGCGUGGGGAUCAAACAGGA